This 236-nucleotide long non-coding RNA is filed under the name Carica papaya (papaya). RNAcentral describes it as "long non-coding RNA (CPAP_LNC010713)". The record is from RNAcentral. Lineage: Eukaryota; Viridiplantae; Streptophyta; Magnoliopsida; Brassicales; Caricaceae.
UCAUCAAUCAGUUAUCACUCUGGUUGCUAUCAUUCACAUUCUUGAGCUCUAGGACCAUGAAUAGUAAUCAGUUCAGAGUCCACAGACCACUGAACCCGGUCCCAUAAUUGCAACCCAAUAUCACACCAAAACUCUAGUAGUUCCCUUAUAACCUCUAUAUCUCUCCAAGGAAAUCAGUGCAUCGGAUUUAACUGAACACUGUGUUAUUUAUAUUUUAGACCCUUUAACAAUUCUUU